RNAcentral lists this ribosomal RNA (662 nucleotides) under uncultured bacterium. RNAcentral's name for it is "bacterial SSU rRNA". It matches the Rfam family "Bacterial small subunit ribosomal RNA", at positions 94 to 788 of the family's 1533-position model. The record is from RNAcentral.
AGUGGCGGACGGGUGAGUAACGCGUGAGAAUCUAGCUUCAGGACGGGGACAACAGCUGGAAACGGCUGCUAAUACCCGAUAUGCCGAAAGGUGAAAAGUUAUUUCGCCUGGAGAGGAGCUCGCGUCCGAUUAGCUAGUUGGUGGGGUAAAAGCUUACCAAGGCAACGAUCGGUAGCUGGUCUGAGAGGAUGAGCAGCCACACUGGAACUGAGACACGGUCCAGACUCCUACGGGAGGCAGCAGUGGGGAAUUUUCCGCAAUGGGCGAAAGCCUGACGGAGCAACGCCGCGUGGGGGAAGAAGGUUUUUGGAUUGUAAACCCCUUUUCUCAAGGAAGAACAAAAUGACGGUACUUGAGGAAUCAGCCUCGGCUAACUCCGUGCCAGCAGCCGCGGUAAUACGGAGGAGGCAAGCGUUAUCCGGAAUUAUUGGGCGUAAAGCGUUCGUAGGCGGCUGUUCAAGUCUGCUGUCAAAGACCGAGGCUCAACCUCGGGUCGGCAGUGGAAACUGGAUAGCUAGAGGUCGGUAGGGGCAGAGGGAAUUCCCAGUGUAGCGGUGAAAUGCGUAGAUAUUGGGAAGAACACCGGUGGCGAAAGCGCUCUGCUGGGCCGAACCUGACGCUGAGGGACGAAAGCUAGGGGAGCGAAUGGGAUUAGAUACCCC